UACACACCGCCCGUCACACCAUGGGAGUUGGCUUUACUCGAAGCCGGUGUGCUAACCCGCAAGGGAGGCAGCCGUCCACGGUAAGGUCAGCGACUGGGGUG
This 101-nucleotide ribosomal RNA is filed under the name uncultured bacterium. RNAcentral describes it as "partial 16S ribosomal RNA". It matches the Rfam family "Bacterial small subunit ribosomal RNA", at positions 1384 to 1482 of the family's 1533-position model. The record is from RNAcentral.